GGUAAGCAGGACAAUUUUGUUGCUCCAAGUAUUCAACAUUUAGUUGACGAAGUUGCAAAAAAGUAUCACACAAACUAGACUGGAGAGCAAUUGCCUAUUAAUGGCCGACUCCUCUGCAACUUUCCAACAAGAAAUUCUAUCUUCUAUGAGCAAGAAUCUGGAUACCAUAAUCAAGCAGGCAUUAAAUCUUCCAACAUUCCCCCCAUGAUAGGCAAAGAAUGGUACAACAUUUUUGUUCCCUGACAAAUUCCCAACACUUUCCCUUCUAUUCAUUCAUAUGAACAAAAUGAUUUGGAAUAUGGAUCUAGAGUUUGC
RNAcentral lists this unclassified non-coding RNA (315 nucleotides) under Hevea brasiliensis (rubber tree). The record is from RNAcentral. Lineage: Eukaryota; Viridiplantae; Streptophyta; Magnoliopsida; Malpighiales; Euphorbiaceae.